Molecule: long non-coding RNA, 1660 nt
Organism: Meleagris gallopavo (turkey)
Lineage: Eukaryota; Metazoa; Chordata; Aves; Galliformes; Phasianidae
Source: RefSeq, a predicted model, not a curated record
AUUAGUCAACAUCACAAGUCUGAGGCACUGAGAUCAGAGUAACAUUAAAAUAUUUGAAGCUUUUAAAUAGCUAUAAACAAGAAUAGAAAAGUGUCUCUAUUCAAGCACUUGACUCCUGUAGCUCAUCUGUAGCUCAUUCUCUUGCUGAUAUAUGAGAAAAGUUCCAAACAAAUGAGGUUGUGACCUCAUUCACUGAAAGAUAACAUCUGCACUUUACACAGUGCCUUUGCUGUAAGCGAAAAUACGCAGAGUCAUACGAGUCUUAGACCAACGGCUGUUGGAAAUCAGUACAUUUGCCCAUAGAGAAGAUGAAUCAACAUCAAAGUUGCAGCAGUAUUAUGAAGCAAUUCCACUCCCCUGUUUGUUUUGUGAUACUAUUGUAAGCCAAGUAAGAAUCACAGAAUCACGGAAUUGCAGGGGUUGGAAGGGACCUCAAGAAACCAUCCAAAGGAGUCCAAAUCCCUGCCAAAGCAGGUACCUUACAGUAGAUCACACAGAGCUGAUUAAACUCUUGGAAAAUAACAUAUUUGAAUAUCCAGAAGACAUUUCCCUGAGACCAAACAGAACACAGCUGAUCAAAUGUUGAGGAAGGAGUUAUUCACAAAAAACAAAAGGAAGUGACUAACAAGUAUUUCCUGGCUACUCUGGCUCUCAACUGAACUACUUACUUCAAUCUUCUUUUCUCCUUUUUUUCUUUAUGAACAUCCUCCAUGGUAUUUCUGACAUAUAGAAUGAUCAUCAGCAAUGCAUUUGAUACCUUUUCAUUCAAGGUUAACUCUCUCUGCAAACAUCACUUACUAGAAACUCUGCAGUCUUUAAAAUGUGAAUUAGUUUGCAGUGAACUUCAUAAACCGUCAGCUGUACAAAAGCAGAGUAAUCUUAAUGUUACUGUGCAGUCAUUGAAACACUGGCAUAUCUCCAUUUCUUUUAAUGGGAAAAGAAACUUGUUAAGCCUGAUCUUUUAUUUUUGCUGAUAGUUGUGACCCCCACAUUUUCCAUAUCUUCAGUUCUUUAAUUUUCACAACCAGACCUGGGGAAAUGUUCCAGUUUCACUUAACAUUUCUCUGCAGAACAUAAUGCAUACCCUAUGCUGCUGAAUUACUAUAACCUAACUGAUUUAGCCAGAAUCACUGAAAAGAGGUUGUAGAAAAAUGACUGACAUGGAGGAAGAAACUGGUAGACCUCAUCCCCACAGUCCAUAAAUCAGGAUGAAAUGUUUGUUAUCAGGCAGUGGUUAGCUCUCCUUUAGCUCUAUUAGCCUACUCCAGUGGGAUCCUUGCCCUUCUGUUUUAGUUUCAUAGGUAUUUUCAGUAUGCUCUUCAUACCAUCUGCUGUUUAUGGAAUGAUUCUCUAAUGAAGUAUACAUGCUUUCUCAGAAGAAGAGACUGCGUUUUUUGUGUGUUAUGCCCUCUGCAGAGCCAUUUCAGUUGUGAUAUGCUCUGUUAAUUUAUUAAAAUUACUGAUUCCCCCUCCUCAAAUUACUCUUCACUGGCAAGUGAACUAACUGAUUACUCUGAUGUUUACAGUACUCCACAGAUACAACUUUUAUUGCGUGGUAAAAAGAAAAGUAGGCUCUGCUAUAAAGUUAGAUUCUAAUAUUUUAAUAAUUUAUUCAGAUGUAUUUCUUAUUUUCAAGUAGUAUCUUUUAAAAAUAAAGCCU